Molecule: long non-coding RNA, 288 nt
Organism: Trifolium pratense (red clover)
Lineage: Eukaryota; Viridiplantae; Streptophyta; Magnoliopsida; Fabales; Fabaceae
Exons: 3
Source: RefSeq, a predicted model, not a curated record
UCUCUAUCUAAAAUUUCUCCAACAUCUCUCUAAAAAUUCUUAACUCUUUAUCAUCUCAACUCUUUAUCAUUUCACUCUCAAAAAAUUCUCCAACUUUUUAUUAUUUCACUCUUGUUUUUCUUCAUUUUGCAAGUGUUAUUUUGUCUGGCGAUUUGUACAUAGGAGUAUAAUGUAGACACCACUCUUCCUCAGCAUAAAAAUAUUCAUGGUUGGUUCGUCCGUUGUCGUGGUUGGGAGCUUAGUUUAAAUAACUCCAAGUCAGACACUACCCGGCACAACAAGUAAGUA